Molecule: ribosomal RNA, 275 nt
Filed under: uncultured bacterium
Lineage: Bacteria
Description: partial 16S ribosomal RNA
Rfam family: Bacterial small subunit ribosomal RNA
Source: RNAcentral
GCGUGAGUGAUGAAGGCCUUCGGGUUGUAAAGCUCUUUCGCACGCGACGAUAAUGACGGUAGCGUGAGAAGAAGCCCCGGCUAACUUCGUGCCAGCAGCCGCGGUAAUACGAAGGGGGCUAGCGUUGUUCGGAAUAACUGGGCGUAAAGGGUGCGUAGGCGGAUCUUUAAGUCAGGGGUGAAAUCCCGAGGCUCAACCUCGGAACUGCCUUUGAUACUGGAGAUCUUGAGUCCGGGAGAGGUGAGUGGAACUGCGAGUGUAGAGGUGAAAUUCGU